GAUGAACGCUGGCGGCGUGCCUAAUACAUGCAAGUCGAGCGAGCGGCGGACGGGUGAGUAAUGCCUAGGAAUCUGCCUGGUAGUGGGGGAUCACGUCCGGAAACGGGCGCUAAUACCGCAUACCCUCGGAUGUGCCCAGCUGGGAUUAGCUUUUAGGUGGGGUAACGGCUUACCUAGGCGACGAUCCCUAGCUGGUCUGAGAGGAUGACCAGCCACACUGGAACUGAGACACGGUCCAGACUCCUACGGGAGGCAGCAGUGGGGAAUAUUGCACAAUGGGCGCAAGCCUGAUGCAGCCAUGCCGCGUGUAUGAAGAAGGCCUUCGGGUUGUAAAGUACUUUCAGCGGGGAGGCGUUACCCGCAGAAGAAGCACCGGCUAACUCCGUGCCAGCAGCCGCGGUAAUUC
This 406-nucleotide ribosomal RNA is filed under the name uncultured bacterium. Its description in RNAcentral is "partial 16S ribosomal RNA". It matches the Rfam family "Bacterial small subunit ribosomal RNA", at positions 28 to 526 of the family's 1533-position model. The record is from RNAcentral.